This 323-nucleotide ribosomal RNA is filed under the name uncultured Chloroflexota bacterium. Its description in RNAcentral is "bacterial SSU rRNA". It matches the Rfam family "Bacterial small subunit ribosomal RNA", at positions 28 to 351 of the family's 1533-position model. Lineage: Bacteria; Bacillati; Chloroflexota. The record is from RNAcentral.
GAUGAACGCUGGCGGCGUGCCUAAUACAUGCAAGUCGAGCGAAGGAUGUAGCAAUACGUCUUUAGCGGCGAACGGGUGAGUAACGCGUUGGUGACCUGCCCCGAAGUGUGGGAUAACAGCUCGAAAGGGUUGCUAAUACCGCAUGUGGUUUUUCGGAUUAGAUGCCCGAAUUUCUAAAGGAGAAAUUCGCUUCGGGAGGGGCCUGCGUCCCAUCAGCUAGUUGGUAGGGUAACGGCCUACCAAGGCAGUGACGGGUAGGGGACCUGAGAGGGUGGCCCCCCACAAUGGAACUGAAACACGGUCCAUACACCUACGGGUGGCAG